UCCCUGGUGGUCCAGUGGCUAAGACUCUAUGCUGCAAAUGCAGGGGUCUGGGUUUGAUCCCUGGUCAGGGAA
This is a non-coding RNA of Bos taurus (domestic cattle), 72 nucleotides long. The record is from Rfam. NCBI's taxonomy places the organism in Eukaryota, Metazoa, Chordata, Mammalia, Artiodactyla, Bovidae.